GCAGUCGCCACGGGAAUACGAAGGGUGCAAGCGUUAAUCGGAAUUACUGGGCGUAAAGCGUGCGUAGGCGGUUUGUUAAGUCUGCUGUGAAAUCCCCGGGCUCAACCUGGGAAUGGCAGUGGAUACUGGCAAGCUAGAGUGUGUCAGAGGAUGGUGGAAUUCCCGGUGUAGCGGUGAAAUGCGUAGAGAUCGGGAGGAACAUCAGUGGCGAAGGCGGCCAUCUGGGACAACACUGACGCUGAGGCACGAAAGCGUGGGGAGCAAACAGGAUUAGAUACCCCCGUAGUCCCUGUCUCUUAUAC
Molecule: ribosomal RNA, 302 nt
Filed under: uncultured bacterium
Lineage: Bacteria
Description: partial 16S ribosomal RNA
Rfam family: Bacterial small subunit ribosomal RNA
Source: RNAcentral